AGAACGAACGCUGGCGGCGUGCUUAACACAUGCAAGUCGAGUGCGCGUACCGUAGCAAUACGGUAUGGCGCACGGCGCACGGGUGCGUAACACGUGGGCAAUCUGCCCUUCGAUGGGGAAUAUCUUCGGGAAACCGAAGCGAAUUCCGCAUAACAUUCCUUGGACUUCGGUUCGAGGAUUCAAAGCCGUAAGGCGUCGAAGGAGGAGCCCGCGCACGAUUAGCUAGUUGGUAGGGUAACGGCCUACCAAGGCUUUGAUCGUUA
RNAcentral lists this ribosomal RNA (263 nucleotides) under uncultured bacterium. RNAcentral's name for it is "partial small subunit ribosomal RNA". It matches the Rfam family "Bacterial small subunit ribosomal RNA", at positions 26 to 285 of the family's 1533-position model. The record is from RNAcentral.